UUGGAGGGCAAGUCUGGUGCCAGCAGCCGCGGUAAUUCCAGCUCCAAUAGCGUAUAUUAAAGUUGUUGCAGUUAAAAAGCUCGUAGUUGAACUUCGGGGUUCACCCAUUGGUCAGGCUUAAUUGUCUGUACUGGUGAGAUGAGUCUCUACCUUCUGAGGAACUUUCAUGCCAUUUAUUUGGUGUGGUUGGAAAUCAGGACUGUUACUUUGAAAAAAUUAGAGUGUUUAAAGCAGGCUAACGUCUGAAUACAUUAGCAUGGAAUAAUGAAAUAGGACGGAUUGAUUCUAUUUCGUUGGUUUCUAGGGUCACCGUAAUGAUUAAUAGGGAUAGUUGGGGGCAUUAGUAUUCAAUUGUCAGAGGUGAAAUUCUUGGAUUUAUUGAAGACUAACUACUGCGAAAGCAUUUGCCAAGGAUGUUUUCAUUAAUCAAGAACGAAAGUUAGGGGAUCGAAGACGAUCAGAUACCGUCGUAGUCUUAACCAUAAACUAUGCCGACUAGGGAUCGGACGCAGUUAAUUUAUAAUGACGUGUUCGGCGCC
Molecule: ribosomal RNA, 539 nt
Filed under: uncultured Diversisporaceae
Lineage: Eukaryota; Fungi; Glomeromycota; Glomeromycetes; Diversisporales
Description: SSU rRNA
Rfam family: Eukaryotic small subunit ribosomal RNA
Source: RNAcentral